CUCUUAUCCAGAGAGGCGGAGGGAACUGGCCCUGCGAAGCCUCGGCAACCGUGUUACAGGUGCUAAUUCCAGCAAAGCUAUGCGCUUUGGCAGAUAAGAG
Molecule: non-coding RNA, 100 nt
Filed under: Tumebacillus algifaecis
Lineage: Bacteria; Bacillati; Bacillota; Bacilli; Caryophanales; Alicyclobacillaceae
Description: SAM-I sequence
Rfam family: SAM riboswitch aptamer (S box leader)
About the family: The SAM riboswitch is found upstream of a number of genes which code for proteins involved in methionine or cysteine biosynthesis in Gram-positive bacteria. The SAM riboswitch acts at the level of transcription termination control. The predicted structure consists of a complex stem-loop region followed by a single stem loop terminator region.
Source: Rfam by way of RNAcentral